UACGUAGGGUGCGAGCGUUAAUCGGAAUUACUGGGCGUAAAGCGUGCGCAGGCGGUUUUGUAAGCCCGAUGUGAAAGCCCCGGGCUUAACCUGGGAAUGGCAUUGAGGACUGUGUGGCUUGAGUGCGGCAGAGGGAGGUGGAAUUCCACGUGUAGCAGUGAAAUGCGUAGAGAUGUGGAGGAACACCGAUGGCGAAGGCAGCCUCCUGGGCCGACACUGACGCUGAGGGCACGAAAGCGUGGGGAGCAAACAGG
Molecule: ribosomal RNA, 254 nt
Filed under: uncultured bacterium
Lineage: Bacteria
Description: partial 16S ribosomal RNA
Rfam family: Bacterial small subunit ribosomal RNA
Source: RNAcentral